RNAcentral lists this ribosomal RNA (431 nucleotides) under uncultured marine eukaryote. Its description in RNAcentral is "bacterial SSU rRNA". The record is from RNAcentral.
GCUGCUGUUAAAAAGCUCGUAGUUGGAUCAGAGUUCGACAGUGCACGGUGGCCCUGUUUGUCACAGUGGUUCCGAUCAUUGUGGCGGCAGCGGAUAAACCCCGUGCGCCAAACUGAAGACUCUAACAGACCCAAGCGGUUCCCUGUGAGUAGGCUCCUUCAUUGGGGCUGAAAGCGCUUACGCAACAACCAUAUGCAUACGGGACGUGGGUCAACGUUACUGUGAAUGUUCGAGCAUGGAAUAACAAAUGAUCGAUUCUCUCGGUUCUUUUUUGUUGGUUUUUAACCCGAGAAGGAGCAAUUCAGGCCACGGUGUCUGAGUUGGGUUUCCCUUCACCUCGGUGGAGGCCCCAAUUAGGCCGUGUCCUUACGGGAUCAAUAGGGACUGACGGGGUCGUACGUACUUCCACGUCAGAGGUGAAAUUCUUAGAU